UUAUAAAUUUGGGAAAGCCAGACAUGCACUCGAAAUAGUUUAAGAGGCCUCCACAGAGGACAAGAUGCGUAUUGAAUUUCAAACUGGAUCAUACGAUAAAUUUGCUAAAUCUUUAACAGCUCGACCCGUGUUGCGUGCGGUUGACAGUACUUGGACAAGUGUUACGUCUUACGGUCAUCUCCGGCCAUACCAUUAAUUAGAAUAUGAACGGGAAACUUUGCGACGAUUAUAUCUCACUGGCAUAUUUUCAUCGACGUAAGAAUUCCUGAUGUCACGAAUUAAUAUUGCUCGCUGUCCCACAUGGUACCAUAUGACGGCUAUUAUUUUAGAGUUCUGUUUGCCAUAGAACGUUGGCAUGUGCCUGGCUGUGGCACUGUCGUUAAGCUAUUCAUUCUAACAAAAUUUGUGGCAGUUACACGGGGAGUGGGAGAAUUCCGAAGGUAGUUCAAUCGACGCGAUGCGGCAUUAAAAUAUGUAUAUGCAACAAAACCAGCCACAUUGGACGACCUCAAGCGAUUCCAUAACGCAAAAGAUUGAAAACAUUCCACAGAAUGUGCUAUUGCAGACUUCAGCUGUUGAAAUGGAAUCCAUCAGCGUGAACUGGAACGGCGAGACGUGUGAAAACUCUAGAGAAGUCUGCAUGACAUGCAACAGAAAACAACUGUUGCAGCACAUCACCUAAGUGAAGAACAAACCAUGGCAGUCUCUUGAG
Molecule: long non-coding RNA, 712 nt
Organism: Nomia melanderi (Alkali bee)
Lineage: Eukaryota; Metazoa; Arthropoda; Insecta; Hymenoptera; Halictidae
Source: RefSeq, a predicted model, not a curated record